Molecule: transfer RNA, 39 nt
Filed under: Luffa aegyptiaca (smooth loofah)
Lineage: Eukaryota; Viridiplantae; Streptophyta; Magnoliopsida; Cucurbitales; Cucurbitaceae
Also listed under: 1 other name
Description: partial tRNA-Phe
Source: RNAcentral
CCGGGAUAGCUCAGUUGGUAGAGCANAGGACUGAAAAUC